CCUACGGGAGGCAGCAGUGAGGAAUAUUGGUCAAUGGGCGCGAGCCUGAACCAGCCAAGUCGCGUGAGGGAAGACGGUCCUAUGGAUUGUAAACCUCUUUUGUCGGGGAGCAAAAGACGCCACGCGUGGCGUUCCGAGAGUACCCGAAGAAAAAGCCUCGGCUAACUCCGUGCCAGCAGCCGCGGUAAUACGGAGGAUGCGAGCGGUAUCCGGAUUUAUUGGGUUUAAGGGGUGCGCAGGCGGAAGAUCAACUCAGCGGUAAAAUUGAGAGGCUCAACCUCUUCGAGCCGUUGAAACGGGUUUUCGUGAGUGAGUGAGAAGUAUGCGGAAUGCGUGGUGUAGCGGUGAAAUGCAGAGAUAUCACGCAGAACUCCGAUUGCGAAGGCAGCAUACCGGCGCUCAACUGACGCUCAUGCACGAAAGUGUGGGUAUCGAACAGGAUGAGAUACCCCAGUAGUC
RNAcentral lists this ribosomal RNA (459 nucleotides) under uncultured bacterium. RNAcentral's name for it is "partial 16S ribosomal RNA". It matches the Rfam family "Bacterial small subunit ribosomal RNA", at positions 338 to 795 of the family's 1533-position model. The record is from RNAcentral.